UACGUAGGGCGCAAGCGUUGUCCGGAAUUAUUGGGCGUAAAGAGCUCGUAGGCGGCUUGUCACGUCGGAUGCGAAAGCCCGGGGCUUAACCCCGGGUCUGCAUUCGAUACGGGCAGGCUAGAGUGUGGUAGGGGAGAUCGGAAUUCCUGGUGUAGCGGUGAAAUGCGCAGAUAUCAGGAGGAACACCGGUGGCGAAGGCGGAUCUCUGGGCCAUUACUGACGCUGAGGAGCGAAAGCGUGGGGAGCGAACAGG
This 253-nucleotide ribosomal RNA is filed under the name uncultured bacterium. RNAcentral describes it as "partial 16S ribosomal RNA". It matches the Rfam family "Bacterial small subunit ribosomal RNA", at positions 524 to 776 of the family's 1533-position model. The record is from RNAcentral.